Molecule: unclassified non-coding RNA, 338 nt
Filed under: uncultured fungus
Lineage: Eukaryota; Fungi
Description: partial contains small subunit ribosomal RNA, internal transcribed spacer 1, and 5.8S ribosomal RNA
Rfam family: Eukaryotic small subunit ribosomal RNA (bases 1-73)
Source: RNAcentral
GCAAACUUGGUCAUUUAGAGGAAGUAAAAGUCGUAACAAGGUUUCCGUAGGUGAACCUGCGGAAGGAUCAUUGCCGAUCGGACGCCACGCUGAGCUUUCGCGAGCUCUUCGUGGUGUCUUUUUCGACCAACCCAUGUGAACUCGUUUUAUGUGUUUGUUUAACAAAGCCCCUAGGGGCUUUGUCCAAACAUUUUACAAUAAUAAUAACAAACCACAUUAUAUUGAACUCUUGACUGAGACAAUACAGGUCACGCCUAAAAAACGUUGAUCUCAAAAACCUAACCAUUACAACUUUUAACAACGGAUAUCUUGGCUCGCGCAUCGAUGAAGAACGCAGC